RNAcentral lists this ribosomal RNA (445 nucleotides) under uncultured bacterium. Its description in RNAcentral is "bacterial SSU rRNA". It matches the Rfam family "Bacterial small subunit ribosomal RNA", at positions 29 to 524 of the family's 1533-position model. The record is from RNAcentral.
AACGAACGCUGGCGGCAGGCCUAACACAUGCAAGUCGAACGCUCCAGCAAUGGAGAGUGGCAGACGGGUGAGUAACGCGUGGGAACCUUCCCUAUGGUUCGGAAUAGCUCAGGGAAACUUGAGGUAAUACCGGAUAAGCCCUUCGGGGAAGAUUAUCGCCAUUGGAUGGGCCCGCGUAGGAUUAGCUAGUUGGUGAGGUAACGGCUCACCAAGGCGACGAUCCUUAGCUGGUCUGAGAGGAUGAUCAGCCACACUGGGACUGAGACACGGCCCAGACUCCUACGGGAGGCAGCAGUGGGGAAUAUUGGACAAUGGGCGCAAGCCUGAUCCAGCCAUGCCGCGUGAGUGACGAAGGCCUUAGGGUUGUAAAGCUCUUUUGGCGGGAAGAUAAUGACGGUACCCGCAGAAUAAGCUCCGCUAACUUCGUGCCAGCAGCCGCGGUAAU